Molecule: long non-coding RNA, 1077 nt
Filed under: Canis lupus familiaris (dog)
Lineage: Eukaryota; Metazoa; Chordata; Mammalia; Carnivora; Canidae
Description: lncRNA (ENSCAFG00040011133.1)
Source: RNAcentral
AUGCAGGGGGGACGCGGACCGUCCGGCUGGGCGGGGAGCCCCCGGGACUCGAUCCCGCGCCGCGGGGAGCCGGCCUCCCGCGAGGGCGGACGCUUAAGCGCCUGGGCCCCAGAGCCCCUUCCCGUCUGCCUUGCACCAGCUCCCACGCCGACCCCCCGAUCCCCGAGGCGCGGGUCUGCCCGCGGGGGGGUGCGCGGUCCGCCUCCGCCCGCCCAGGCCCCGGCUGCGGCCCCGUUUCCUCCCCCCGCCCCCCGGGGGCCCCUGGAGCCCAGAGGCUGGCUGCGCAGGGACGCGCUCGGCCCCCGGGUCUUCCCCCGCGCCGGGGGGCCGCGGGCCGCUUCUUGCGCUCGCCCCCCCCCCUCCCCGGACUCAGGCUUCGCGGGGGCCUCGCGCCGGGCGGGGGGGGCCGCUGAGCCUCCGGGCGCGCCGCCGGGGCGCCCCCCGCCCGGACCCCCGCCGCGCCCCCGCCGCCCGAGCGUCCAUCCGCCCCGCCCGGACCCCCGGACCCCCGCCGCCCCAGCGCACACCCGCUCUGACCCCCCCCGCCCCCGCCCCCGCCGGGCCCCCGCCGCCCGAGCGUCCAUCCGCCCCGCCCGGACCCGCACCCCCCGGGCCCCAGCCCGGCCCCCGCCGCCCGAGGGCCCCGACCUUGCGCCGACGGCGGGGCGGGCGCGGAGCCCACGCGCUGCAGCUCGCACCCCGCCGGCCCCCGGGGCCCCUCCAUGGCGCCGACGCCCGGGGCCCCGACCCUCCCGCUGCGCGUGGCCGACGGCUCGCCUCAUCGCCGUCCCCCCGCACCCGCGGGCGCCGUUCCCUCGACACCUGAUGCCGCGGGCGGCGCCGGGCUCGACUCCCUGCGGCGGGCGCGGGUCCUCUCGGCCGCAGGGGGCGCGGCAGCCCGGCCGCUCCCGGAGCCCCGGACCGGCUCAGCCCCGUCGCGCGCGGGUCCCGCGGCCGCCAGCUGCCGCCGGUGACAUCCUCCCCGCUCGGCCCCGCGGCUCGGGAGCCGCUCCGCUUCGCGCCCACUCCCUUCCCCGCCCUUCCUGGGUGGGCCCCCGGCGCCGCGCGCGUCCCUGA